This 468-nucleotide ribosomal RNA is filed under the name uncultured bacterium. Its description in RNAcentral is "partial 16S ribosomal RNA". It matches the Rfam family "Bacterial small subunit ribosomal RNA", at positions 28 to 507 of the family's 1533-position model. The record is from RNAcentral.
GACGAACGCUGGCGGCGUGCUUAACACAUGCAAGUCGAACGGAAAGGCCCUGCUUUCGUGGGGUGCCCGAGUGCCGAACGGGUGAGUAACACGUAAGUAACCUGCCCUAGACUUUGGGAUAACUUAAGGAAACUGGGGCUAAUACCGGAUAGGAGCCCCUGCUGCAUGGUGGGGGUGGGAACGUUUCGGCGGUUGGGGAUGGACUCGCGGCUUAUCAGCUUGUUGGUGGGGUAGUGGCUUACCAAGGCUUUGACGGGUAGCCGGCCUGAGAGGGUGACCGGCCACAUGGGGACUGAGAUACGGCCCAGACGCCUACGGGAGACAGCAGUGGGGAAUAUUGCACAAUGGGCGGAAGCCUGAUGCAGCAACGCCGCGUGCGGGAUGACGGCCUUCGGGUUGUAAACCGCUUUCGCCUGUGACGAAGCGUGAGUGACGGUAAUGGGUAAAGAAGCACCGGCUAACUACGUG